This 456-nucleotide ribosomal RNA is filed under the name uncultured Bacteroidota bacterium. RNAcentral's name for it is "bacterial SSU rRNA". It matches the Rfam family "Bacterial small subunit ribosomal RNA", at positions 45 to 496 of the family's 1533-position model. Lineage: Bacteria; Pseudomonadati; Bacteroidota. The record is from RNAcentral.
GGCCUAACACAUGCAAGUCGAGGGGUAACAUAGAGUGCUUGCACUCUGAUGACGACCGGCGCACGGGUGAGUAACGCGUAUACAAUCUGCCUCAUACUAGGGGAUAGCCCAGAGAAAUUUGGAUUAAUACCCUAUAGUAUCAUUUAGAGUCAUCUCUUAAUGAUUAAAGGUUACGGUAUGAGAUGAGUAUGCGUUCUAUUAGUUAGUAGGUGAGGUAACGGCUCACCUAGACCACGAUAGAUAGGGGCCCUGAGAGGGGGAUCCCCCACACUGGUACUGAGACACGGACCAGACUCCUACGGGAGGCAGCAGUGAGGAAUAUUAGACAAUGGGCGAAAGCCUGAUCUAGCCAUGCCGCGUGCAGGAUGACGGCCCUAUGGGUUGUAAACUGCUUUUAUACAGGAAGAAAAAACUCUACGUGUAGAGUCUUGACGGUACUGUAAGAAUAAGGAUCGG